AGUUUGAUCCUGGCUCAGAACGAACGUUGGCGGCAUGGAUUAGGCAUGCAAGUCGGGGGAAUCACCCGCAAGGGUGGGAACCGGCGUAAGGGGCAGUAAGGCGUGGGUACCUACCCCGUGGUCCGGGAUAGCCUGCCGAGAGGCAGGGUAAUACCGGAUGACCUCGGGAGAGCAAAGGCUUGCCGCCAUGGGCGGGGCCCACGUGGUAUUACCUGGUUGGCGGGGUGACGGCCCACCAAGGGGGCGAUGCCUAGCGGGUGUGAGAGCACGACCCGCGCCACUGGCACUGAGACACUGGCCAGACACCUACGGGUGGCUGCAGUCGAGGAUCUUCGGCAAUGGGGGCAACCCCGACCGAGCGAUGCCGCGUGUGC
RNAcentral lists this ribosomal RNA (374 nucleotides) under uncultured bacterium. RNAcentral describes it as "bacterial SSU rRNA". It matches the Rfam family "Bacterial small subunit ribosomal RNA", at positions 10 to 406 of the family's 1533-position model. The record is from RNAcentral.